Molecule: ribosomal RNA, 253 nt
Filed under: uncultured bacterium
Lineage: Bacteria
Description: partial 16S ribosomal RNA
Rfam family: Bacterial small subunit ribosomal RNA
Source: RNAcentral
UACGUAGGUGACAAGCGUUGUCCGGAUUUACUGGGCGUAAAGAGCGCGCAGGCGGUCGUGCAAGUCGAGUGUGAAAGCCCCCGGCUCAACUGGGGAGGGUCACUCGAUACUGAUCGACUCGAAGGCAGGAGAGGGAAGUGGAAUUCCGGGUGUAGUGGUGAAAUGCGUAGAUAUCCGGAGGAACACCAGUGGCGAAGGCGACUUUCUGGCCUGUUCUUGACGCUGAGGCGCGAAAGCUAGGGGAGCAAACGGG